Molecule: ribosomal RNA, 468 nt
Filed under: Triticum aestivum (bread wheat)
Lineage: Eukaryota; Viridiplantae; Streptophyta; Magnoliopsida; Poales; Poaceae
Description: partial small subunit ribosomal RNA
Source: RNAcentral
AUGGCACAGCUCUUUGGCCCCAUGAGGGAGGGGACCACGGCAGCCGCCAUACAAAUACAAGACAUGGAACCGGACAUCUUCAAGGCACUGCUUGGUUUCGUCUACACCGACUUGAUGCCAGAGAUGGAGGCGGAAAGAGAAGCAGAAGUAGAAGAAGGUGGAGCUGACGAGGUGACGUGGCUGCGUCACUUGCUUGCCGCGGCGGAUAGGUUUGAUCUCCAGAGGCUCAAGUCGAUGUGUGAAGAGAGGUUGUUGGAGCACAUAGAUUUGAGCUCGGUGUCGGCCAUCCUUGCCGUGGCAGCGCAGCUCCAAUGCUGUGGACUCAGGGAGGCGUGCCUGGAGUUCCUCAAAGUUCAGUCAGCUGCAGACUUGGGAGAAGUCAUGGCGACCAGCGAUUGGGAGCACAUAGGUGCAACCGAUCACUCCGUUCUGAACCAGCUCAUCGCCAAGCUUGCUUCCAAAGUUUAG